GAUGAACGCUAGCUACAGGCUUAACACAUGCAAGUCGAGGGGAAACGAUGAGAGAGCUUGCUCUCUUAGUCGUCGACCGGCGCACGGGUGAGUAACGCGUAUCCAACCUGCCUCUGACCAAGGGAUAACCCGUCGAAAGUCGGACUAAUACCUUAUGCAGUCGUCGGAAGUCAUCUGAUGACGACGAAAGAUUUCAUCGGUGAGAGAUGGGGAUGCGUCUGAUUAGCUUGUUGGCGGGGUAACGGCCCACCAAGGCGACGAUCAGUAGGGGUUCUGAGAGGAAGGUCCCCCACAUUGGAACUGAGACACGGUCCAAACUCCUACGGGAGGCAGCAGUGAGGAAGAUUGGUCAAUGGGCGUAAGCCUGAACCAGCCAAGUAGCGUGCAGGAUGACGGCCCUAUGGGUGGUAAACUGCUUUUAUGCGGGGAUAAAGUGAGGGACGUGUCCUUCAUUGCAGGUACCGCAUGAAUAAGGACCGGCUAAUUCCGUG
RNAcentral lists this ribosomal RNA (491 nucleotides) under uncultured bacterium. Its description in RNAcentral is "partial 16S ribosomal RNA". It matches the Rfam family "Bacterial small subunit ribosomal RNA", at positions 28 to 507 of the family's 1533-position model. The record is from RNAcentral.